UACAGGGGGUGCAAACGUUGCUCGGAAUCAUUGGGCGUAAAGCGCACGUAGGCGGUUUGUUAUGUCGGAUGUGAAAGCCCUUGGCUCAACUGAGGAAGUGCAUCCGAAACUGGCAAGCUAGAGUACUAAAGAGGGUCGCGGAAUUCCCGGUGUAGAGGUGAAAUUCGUAGAUAUCGGGAGGAACACCGGUGGCGAAGGCGGCGACCUGGGUCGAUACUGACGCUGAGGUGCGAAAGCGUGGGGAGCAAACAGG
RNAcentral lists this ribosomal RNA (253 nucleotides) under uncultured bacterium. RNAcentral's name for it is "partial 16S ribosomal RNA". It matches the Rfam family "Bacterial small subunit ribosomal RNA", at positions 524 to 776 of the family's 1533-position model. The record is from RNAcentral.